Long non-coding RNA from Brassica rapa (field mustard), 2163 nucleotides. RefSeq lists it as uncharacterized. NCBI's taxonomy places the organism in Eukaryota, Viridiplantae, Streptophyta, Magnoliopsida, Brassicales, Brassicaceae. The record is from RefSeq and is a predicted model, not a curated record.
AGCAAAAAACCAUCUGGGUCUCCGCAGCUCAGUGGCGAGCCUCUCACACAACCAUUGAACACAUCUACCAAAGCAAAUGACGUGGCAUUCUUGGGAAUGAAACCUUUGAUACAGUUACAUGUCAGUAUCGUGCUAAUGUUAUAGUAAACAUUUUAUUAUCAUAUUUUUAAUACUAAUGAGGCAUGAUUUGAUUUUAAUUUGCAUAUUUUAUCUCUUAAUCCUGGAUUAUAUAUAGUUUUCAGCAGACAAGAAAAUGUUAUUUCCACAUUCUAUGACUUGUUUUUAGACUUUCAUCAAUUCAUUACAACAUAUUAUUGUUAUUAGUCGAUAACUUUGACUUAACCACGUGAAUUUUAUCCCAAAAAAAACUUAACCACCUAAAAUCUAAAUUUUUUUAUAAAGAAAUUAGUUUUUGAUCCGCGUUUUGCAGAUUUAUUUUUCAUUUUUAUAUGUUUAUAUCUUUGAGAAUGCCAUGAAAUUGACUGUGUGUUUCUAUUGUGUUUAGUUUUUGGUCUUUCUAAUUUUUGAGAUUAUUUUUUCUUUAAACGAUGCCCGGGUUAUUAUUAAUUUUAUUUGAUAAAUUAAACAUUGAAAUAUAAUUAGAAUUCGAAGUAUACUUUUAGGUUUUAUCAGUUUUAAAGAUGGUCAUUUGAUUCGAAAUUUGUAUAAAAAUUCCAACUUUUAUUUUGGAAUUUUUAAAAGAAAUAUAUGUUUACUGAUGUGUGGUAUAUUUUAAUAAGAUAAAUAUAUUAAUAUAAUAUGGCAUAGUAUUAUGUAAAUAAUUAAAAUUUAUAUUUACAAUUAUGUAAUAUAAAACUAUAGAUAUUAUUGAAAACUAUAAUAUUUGUUGUAAUAUGAAUUAGUUUAAAUUAUGUACAACUAUUUGUGCAAAAUUACGUAGUUUGUAAAUGUGUAUAUGUGAUAAAACUAUAAUAAUACAUACUAUAUUUUAACUAAUAUUGGUUUAUAUAUCUAAUAUAUUUAAUUGUGUAUUUCAUAUUAAUCAAAAAUAUAAAAGAUUUAAAUUAAACAGAAACCGUUCAAAAAUAAAUAUAGUUUUUCAUUUGACCCGCAAUUUCAAAAUGCGAGAUGUUUUAUAAAUAAUUAACAUAAUUUUUAAUUUUGGAAAUGAUAUAUGUUUUUGAAUUAUUUUACGUUUUUUAUAUUACCAUUAACAUUUAUUUUAAAUUUUGAAUAUUAAAUUUUAAAUGAGAAAUGAUUUUGUAAUUGUAACUAAAAUUUAUAUAAAUGUAACUUAUGAAAAUUAAAACAGUGUAACCCGGAGAAUUACCAAAAAUAGCAUUUUGAAUAUACCACUUUUCACUUCUACCUUAUUCAACUUUGCCAUUAAAUUUUUAAUUGGUAAAUGACUAUUAUGUCCUUAAUUAAUUGAACCUAAACUAUUCAAUUAGAUAGGUUAUAUCUUCUUCCUCGAUGUGAGAUCCCACAAUCUCCGGCGAGCUCCGGCAAAGGACGAUGAUUGGAGAUUGCUUUCGGUUCAUACACAGACUGGAACCGCAGAAGGGUUUGCUAAAGUGAGUUGCUUUGAGAAUCUGCUUGGCUCACCAACUUUUGUGGAUAUAAGAAACGGACGGCUAAGAUGCGUGGAGACUGGUCACGAAGUUGUAGCCGGAGACGAAGAAGCAUACGCUCGUAACAAACGGUGUCGUCUGGGACUCAUCGAUCACGCUCUAUCUCAUGGGAAAUCUCCUCUCACCAUGUUCUCGCAGUGCCUAAUUUCUCAUUCGAAGUUCGUGUGCAAGCUUAUUGAGGAUACUGUGAACAAGAACGAGGAACAUAUCUGGAAAUAUGUAAAUGGGAAGAGAUUUCUACACAGAUUAGAUUAAUGAACAUGAUAUCAGAUUCAUUGACAUCUUGUACUGAUUCCAAUUUUGUCUCGUGCUUGUUAUUCCUGGCUUUUAAUGUUUUGGUGUUGAUGUAUCUGAUAGAGCAAGUGGAAAGAGGAGCUGGAACAAGCGGAAAGACCGAGAAAAUAAAAGUAACCAAUAAACAUGGACACAUUAAGGAAGAAACUGACUCCAAUGAUUCAGAGUUUUGGAUGCUUAAGUCAAGUUUUGGUUCAGAGUCAGAGUAGGAGAGUGAUGAAGAAAACUGCAAAGGUUCUCAUUGUGAUGCCAAAUAAUAUGAGGAGCUCUCAGAAAG